CGGGUUGUAAAUCUCUGUCGGGUGGAAAAAACGUCUUUAUGGAUAAUAUUCAUAGGGAGUGAUGGUACCACCAAAGGAAGAGGCGGCUAACUCUGUGC
Molecule: ribosomal RNA, 98 nt
Filed under: uncultured bacterium
Lineage: Bacteria
Description: partial 16S ribosomal RNA
Source: RNAcentral